This 652-nucleotide ribosomal RNA is filed under the name Drosophila yakuba. RNAcentral describes it as "eukaryotic LSU rRNA". It matches the Rfam family "Eukaryotic large subunit ribosomal RNA", at positions 97 to 641 of the family's 3401-position model. The record is from RNAcentral. Lineage: Eukaryota; Metazoa; Arthropoda; Insecta; Diptera; Drosophilidae.
AAAGAAAACAGUUCAGCACUAAGUCACUUUGUCUAUAUGGCAAAUGUGAGAUGCAGUGUAUGGAGCGUCAAUAUUCUAGUAUGAGAAAUUAACGAUUUAAGUCCUUCUUAAAUGAGGCCAUUUACCCACAGAGGGUGCCAGGCCCGUAUAACGUUAAUGAUUACUAGAUGAUGUUUCCAAAGAGUCGUGUUGCUUGAUAGUGCAGCACUAAGUGGGUGGUAAACUCCAUCUAAAACUAAAUAUAACCAUGAGACCGAUAGUAAACAAGUACCGUGAGGGAAAGUUGAAAAGAACUCUGAAUAGAGAGUUAAACAGUACGUGAAACUGCUUAGAGGUUAAGCCCGAUGAACCUGAAUAUCCGUUAUGGAAAAUUCAUCAUUAAAAUUGUAAUAUUUAAAUAAUAUUAUAAGGAUAGUGUGCAUUUUUUCCAUAUAAGGACAUUGUAAUCUAUUAGCAUAUCCCAAAUUUAUCAUAAAAUAUAACUUAUAGUUUAUUCAAAUUAAAGUGCUUGCAUUUUAAAACAGAAUAAAUGUUAUUAAUUUGAUAAAGUGCUGAUAGAUUUAUAUGAUUACAGUGCGUUAAUUUUUCGGAAUUAUAUAAUGGCAUAAUUAUCAUUGAUUUUUAUGUUUAUUAUAUGCACUUGUAUGAUUAA